GAUGAACGCUGGCGGCGUGCCUAAUACAUGCAAGUAGAACGCUGAAGGAAGGAGCUUGCUCUUUCCGGAUGAGUUGCGAACGGGUGAGUAACGCGUAGGUAACCUGCCUGGUAGCGGGGGGUAACUAUUGGAAACGAUAGCUAGUACCGCAUAACAGUAGAUGUUGCAUGAUAUCUACUUAAAAGGUGCAAUUGCACCACUACCAGAUGGACCUGCGUUGUAUUAGCUAGUUGGUGAGGUAACGGCUCACCAAGGCGACGAUACAUAGCCGACCUGAGAGGGUGAUCGGCCACACUGGGACUGAGACACGGCCCAGACUCCUACGGGAGGCAGCAGUAGGGAAUCUUCGGCAAUGGACGGAAGUCUGACCGAGCAACGCCGCGUGAGUGAAGAAGGUUUUCGGAUCGUAAAGCUCUGUUGUAAGAGAAGAACGAGUGUGAGAGUGGAAAGUUCACACUGUGACGGUAUCUUACCAGAAAGGGACGGCUAACUACGUG
This 497-nucleotide ribosomal RNA is filed under the name uncultured bacterium. Its description in RNAcentral is "partial 16S ribosomal RNA". It matches the Rfam family "Bacterial small subunit ribosomal RNA", at positions 28 to 507 of the family's 1533-position model. The record is from RNAcentral.